Long non-coding RNA from Hippocampus zosterae (dwarf seahorse), 1014 nucleotides. RefSeq lists it as uncharacterized. NCBI's taxonomy places the organism in Eukaryota, Metazoa, Chordata, Actinopteri, Syngnathiformes, Syngnathidae. The record is from RefSeq and is a predicted model, not a curated record. The transcript is spliced from 2 exons.
UCUGUACAGAUACACGCGAUGUAAAUAUAUGACAAGAACAUCAACAAUGUGUAGUAAGCAUCUCCACAGAUGUCAAUAUUUAGUGUGAAGAUGUUCUUUUUUUAACUAGACCGCACAUUAUAACCAUAUUUAAAAAGGGGGGAAUCGGCUUCUUGCCUUGCUCUCAACUACCGGUAUUCCCAAAAAAGACAAAUGCAGAAUGCUGCAACCUGCUGGCGGGUUUCUUUACUACCAGCUUAUCCACCACUAGUACUGUGUCACUCUCAACAAGACCCCUUUCACAUGAAAGAAUUUUGCAACAAUACAAGAACAGUGGUGUCCCAGCCUGGACACCUCAAAUGCUGUUCAGAUGUUUUGGGAGGAAAAAAUUAACUUUCCAACAAGUUAGUCACUUUGUAGAAUAUUACUGGAAUAAAAGUCUUCAAGCAACUUUACAAAAGUACAUAUCAAAAUGGCUGUUGGAUACAAUUUGGAGAAAAAUAAACAAAAAACGAGUGGUUAGGAUUGUCAUUAUAUUUUAGAUUAAUUUUAUUUUUAUUUUAUUGGUUGACUCGAGUGGUGUAAAUAGGUUGUGUUGCACUUUGCAGUUAGGCAUGAAGAACAAUUUCUUGUGAUUUUGUUUUUCAGUAAGGAGUAAUGAAGAUGCUUGAGGGAAAUGUCCACCUGCAACCACUGGUGCUGGUCGUUCUGGGAGGGCGCCCAGGGAAGGCCCGCCUUUUUUAGCCGAGCUCCUGACGGCGCCCACACGCUGAGCUGGCCUGCCACAUUGUUCCACUCCCACACGGAUGAGGCGGAGAUCUGAAUAUCCGCCACGCCGCCGGACUCCAAUCCCAAGGUUCCAUAGCAGCCUUACAGCAGUCAUUAAAAAAAAAGUCAACCACAUGCCUUUUGGUGUGUCCUUUUACACUUGUUGAAGUCACGUGGCACCUACCAUUUGUCCUGAAGGUGAAGAGACUGUUUGACAGGGUUCCUCUACGGGGCAAUAAAGUAUAUUAGGGGAAGGUGACAAAUCAA